This 331-nucleotide unclassified non-coding RNA is filed under the name soil metagenome. RNAcentral's name for it is "partial contains 5.8S ribosomal RNA, internal transcribed spacer 2, and large subunit ribosomal RNA". The stretch from base 1 to 120 matches the Rfam family "5.8S ribosomal RNA", at positions 35 to 154 of the family's 154-position model. The record is from RNAcentral.
GAUGAAGAACGCAGCGAAAUGCGAUAAGUAGUGUGAAUUGCAGAAUUCAGUGAAUCAUCGAAUCUUUGAACGCACAUUGCGCCCCUUGGUAUUCCGGGGGGCAUGCCUGUUCGAGCGUCAUUUCACCACUCAAGCCUCGCUUGGUAUUGGGCAACGCGGUCCGCCGCGUGCCUCAAAUCGACCGGCUGGGUCUUCUGUCCCCUAAGCGUUGUGGAAACUAUUCGCUAAAGGGUGUUCGGGAGGCUACGCCGUAAAACAACCCCAUUUCUAAGGUUGACCUCGGAUCAGGUAGGGAUACCCGCUGAACUUAAGCAUAUCAAUAAGCGGAGGA